UACGUAGGGGGCGAGCGUUGUCCGGAUUUAUUGGGCGUAAAGAGCGUGUAGGCGGCCAGGUAGGUCUGCUGUGAAAACUCGAGGCUCAACCUCGAGACGUCGGCGGAAACCAUCUGGCUAGAGUCCGGAAGAGGAGAGUGGAAUUCCUGGUGUAGCGGUGAAAUGCGCAGAUAUCAGGAGGAACACCUGAGGUGAAGGCGGUUCUCUGGGCAUUACCUGACGCUGAGGAGCGAAAGUGUGGGGAGCGAACAGG
RNAcentral lists this ribosomal RNA (253 nucleotides) under uncultured bacterium. RNAcentral's name for it is "partial 16S ribosomal RNA". It matches the Rfam family "Bacterial small subunit ribosomal RNA", at positions 524 to 776 of the family's 1533-position model. The record is from RNAcentral.